UUUCCGUAGGUGAACCUGCGGAAGGAUCAUUAUUGGAUUUUGAAACUUCAGGCUGCUGCUGGCUCUCCUCGGAGGGCAUGUGCACGCUUGUUGUCCAUUAUUUCUCCCACUGUGCACAAAUUGUAGACCUUUCAGUAGGCCUAUGUUGUUUUUCACAAUCUCUGAAUGUAAUAGAAUGGUUUUGAAUCUUGGGAAAUACAAUACAACUUUCAGCAACGGAUCUCUUGGCUCUCGCAUCGAUGAAGGAACGCAGC
Molecule: unclassified non-coding RNA, 254 nt
Filed under: plant metagenome
Description: partial contains small subunit ribosomal RNA, internal transcribed spacer 1, and 5.8S ribosomal RNA
Rfam family: 5.8S ribosomal RNA (bases 205-254)
Source: RNAcentral